Molecule: ribosomal RNA, 450 nt
Filed under: uncultured Glomeromycotina
Lineage: Eukaryota; Fungi; Glomeromycota
Description: SSU rRNA
Rfam family: Eukaryotic small subunit ribosomal RNA
Source: RNAcentral
AGCAGCCGCGGUAAUUCCAGCUCCAAUAGCGUAUAUUAAAGUUGCUGCAGUUAAAAAGCUCGUAGUUGAAUUUCGGGGUCAAUAUGUUGGUCGUGCCUUGGUGCGUACUAGUUUAUUGAUUUCUCCCUUCUGACGAACUAUGAUGCCAUUAAUUUGGUGUCAUGGGGAAUCAGGACUGUUACUUUGAAAAAAUUAGAGUGUUUAAAGCAGGCUCACGCUUGAAUACAUUAGCAUGGAAUAAUAAAAUAGGACGUUUGAUUCUAUUUUGUUGGUUUCUAGGAUCGACGUAAUGAUUAAUAGGGAUAGUUGGGGGCAUUAGUAUUCAAUUGUCAGAGGUGAAAUUCUUGGAUUUAUUGAAGACUAACUACUGCGAAAGCAUUUGCCAAGGAUGUUUUCAUUAAUCAAGGACGAAAGUUAGGGGAUCGAAGACGAUCAGAUACCGUCGUAGUC